AUCUUAUUUUUUUUAUUGUAUGUGUAUUUGUUGUGUUAUUGCGUUAAUGUGCUUGCAAAGCUGCAGCAAACAAGAAUUUCAUUGUCCUCCCGUUCCUGGUGCAUAUGAAAAUUAAACACUCCCUUCUCUUGUCUCUUGAAAAGCAGCUUGCAAAAGGUUUACUGGACCAAUACCUGGAAUGAACAGGUUGAGUGGUGAGGAUAUGCUAGGCUUGUAUCACUGGAGAUCGGAGAGUGAAAUUGAUUGCAGCGUGGAAGAUCCUGACGGGAUGGACAUGCAGAGAUGUUGGGACACAAACAAGGAAUUGCAGAUGCUGGUGUACGAAAUAAAAGACACAAAGUGUUGGAGUAACGCAGUGGGUCAGGCAGCAUCUCUGGAGAACGUGGCUAGAUGACGUUUCAAGCUGCGACCCUUCUUUAGACCCUUCUUUGGUAAGCACUGGGGGAGGGUUGGGGAAGAAAGCUAAUAGAGAGGACAGGGCAGGACAAAGCCUGGGAGAUGAUAAGUGAGCGAGGAGGGAGGAGGGAGGUAUUUGAUAGGCAGGUGGUUAGACAAAGGCCAGAGAUGAAAAAAACAGAAGGAUUGAAGAAUUGUGAUGCCAGAGAAAGGAAUGUAGGCGGAAGGGAAGGGGAAAAAUAGGUGCGAGUCCAGGUGUGGUGGAAAAAAUAGCGAGGAUAAGGGAAGAAGGGGGUUUUGUAGUUACUGAAAAUCAGAACAUUCAAUGUUCAUCCUAUUGGGUUGUAAGCUAUCCAAGUGGAAUAUGAGGUGCUGUUCCUCCAGUUUGCGUGUGGCCUCACUCAUGCAACGGAAGGGGCCAAGGACAGAAAGAUUAAUUUGGAAACGGGAAGAGGAAUUAAAAUGGUGAGCAAUUGGGAGAUCCAAUAGGCCUUAGUGGAAUGACCGCAAGUGUUUGGCAAAACUGUCGCUGAAUCUACUCUUGGUCUUGCCGAUCUACAGGAGGCCAAAUCGGGAACUGUAUGCCGUGGAUGAGGUUAGAGGAGGUGCAAGUGAAUCUCUGUCUCACCGAGAAGGACAAGCUGAGCUCCCAGGAUAGAGAGCAAUUUUAUGGCAUCUUUAUCUCGUAAACUUUGCAAUGAUAACAGUACCUGUCCACAUAGAAAGGGAAGCAAAACUUGGUCAAUGUCUGCAGAACUUCCUGUGGAGAGAAAAAACAGAGAAUUUAUGCAUCUUGUGAGGACAAGAUUCACAAAAACUUGCAGUGAAGAAGACAGCAAUUCAGCACACCAUGUUUUGCCAGUUCUUUGAAAGAGCUUCCUAAUGAGUCCCAAUAAAACCCACAAAUAUGUACUCGCACACUAGUAUUAUUUUUCUUUGCACUACCUGUUAUACUGUGUAUAGUUUAAUUGUACUUACGUAUAGUAGGAUUUGGCAGGGUAGCACGCAAACCAAGGUUUUACACUGCCCCUCAGUGCACGUGGCGAUAAUAAACCAAUACUAAUGCCAAUUACAUAACAUUCGCACCACACUUGUGCUGGGCAAUAGCAGUAUCAAACAAAAGAAAGCCCAGCUAUCACUCCCUUAUAUUCAAUGGCCUUACAGUCAUCCAUCAACAAGGCUCAAGUCUGGAGUGUGAUGGAAUACUUGCCUAGUUGAGCGCAGCUUCAACAACACUCAAGCAGCUUGGCACUAUGCAGGACGGCACAGUGGCACAGCAGCAGAAUUGCUGUCUUACAGCGCCAGAGACCCAGGUUCGAUCCUCACCAUGGGUGCUGUCUGUAUGGAGUUUGUACGUUCUCUCUGUGAGCACGUGGGUUUUCUCCGGGCGCUUCGGUUUCCUCCCACAUUCCAAAAACGUGCAGGUUUGUGGGUUAAUUGGCUUCUGUAAAUUGUCCCCAUUGUGCAGGAUAGAACUGAUAUACUGGUGAUUUUUGAUCGGUGUGGACUCAGUGGGUCAAAGAGCCUGUUUCCAUGCUGUAAACCCAAAACCAAAAAUUGAAUUUGUCCACCUGACAGGGCCCCAAUCCACAUCAGUUCAUUCACUCAAUCCAUCAUCAUCGCACUGUUUGCACUGUCUACACAAUGCACUGUGGCAACACACCACAACUGUUUCAACACCACCUUCCAAACCCCAACAUUUUACUUGCUAGGAGGACAAGGGCUGCCAAGGUAUGGGGACACUACAGCUGGAGGUUGCCCUCCAAGCUGCACGCCAUUCUAACUUGGAAAUAUAUCAUUUUUCCUUCACCGUCACCAAGUCAAAAUCCCGAAACUCUCUCCCUGACAACAGUGGAGGUAAAUCCACAGCUCAAAGACUGCGAUAGUUCAAAAAGACAGCUCACUAUCACCUCAAGGGCAACUAGGAAUGGGCAUUUAAAUGGUGGCUCAGCUGAUUACAUUUUCCCAUGGCUGGCACAAAGCCUAUCUUACAAAGUUUAUUCUUCCACUUUUUUGUAAUGCUUUUUAAACCUCCAUGCCAAAGUGACUCAUGGUUCAGCUCCGCACAAUUUAUUCAGGCUCACUACUGCUCUAAUGUUAUCGCUACCAAACAAUUUCUUCUUUGCACAGCCAAAUUUGCCCGACUGAGUAGCUGCAUGCAAGCCUCUUACAGUCCUCUUGUUAAAAUGUGUUCAUCAGUUAUAUACAGUACAAAUCUGAUGGCAGUGGAUUUGUGAAAGUGAUUUCUGGCCCCAAAGUUAAAUGUGAAUCAAUGUUUCCACUGAUUGUUUAUUUACUUAAGGUAGACACAAAAUAUCUCACAAUAUGACAUGAGACUUAUUCGACAGUUAUCCUUCAAUCAAUUCCAUUUAUCUCACUGCCACUUGCAGGAUCUUACUAUGUGUAAACUAUUUUGCUGUGCCUCCUACAAAAUAAGGAAUACAAUUUAACAGAGGCUGGCAAAUGCUCCAAUAUGCAAUUUUUUUCUUUGAACAUUAACAAACAAUCUGAUCUUAUCAUCUCUAGUGCAUUUACCCUGAGAAGGCUGCCCCAUUGGAAAUAGAAGGUUAAUUGCUUGACAUCAAAAGACUCUACUCUUAACAACUUAAUAAAGGUUAAUACUGAGUUCAUUAAUUUAAAUCUACGGUAUUUUUGAUUUCAGUAAAGAAAAUUAAGCCUAGGGAAUCUUGCUUAUCAUCAACCAAAGCAUUCCUAUCCAUAAUCACUUUUCCUAUUCAUUGCUUUGUCCUUUCCAGGCGUUGGGAACAUUUGCUGCAAGUUUGGGAAGGUUCAUGAAUGGCACUGUUGCCUCACUGACGACAAAGUUUUACACCCAAACUAAUCUUGGCAGCAGCAGCAGAUCAUGAUGUAUGUUAACCUAGUAGAAGCUUCAUACUAAAUCAAAGCUCCGUGACAUGCUCUCGGGCAACUUCCCAAGACAAAUAGUUGGGCAGAGUAGGUGGCACAGUGGCACAGCUGGCAGAGUCGCUGCUUCACAGCUCGAGAGAGCCAAGUUCAAUCCUGAUCGAGUGCUGUCUGUGGGUGGAGUUUACACAUUCUUCCUGUGACUGUGUGGGUUUCGUCCGGUUGCUCAGUCUUCCCCGCAUCUCUCAAACACACGCAGGUUGGCAGGUUAAUUUCUCAUUGUAAAUUCCCCCUUGCACAAGUACAAUCUAGGAAGAAAUCAUAGCAAUGUAGGGAGAAGAAAAUGGGUUAGCAUAGGAUUUGUGUGAAAAUGGCAUGGAAGGACUUGAGUCUAUGCUGCAAGACCAUGACAUUUCCUUUUGCCUAACUGUUUAGUUCUGCUCCAGUUCAGUAUUGACAUUUAUAAAGUUACCUACCCAAUUGGAUGCUCGUGUGGAAUAAAGAACAUACAACAAGAAUCGGACAGAUCACCAACACUGAUGUGCAAACUUAAGGGGGAUAAAAAUUGUUUGAAAAAAUAUGUUGCAAUCCCAGCCAAGCAUAUACAUGUCUGCCUUUAUGUUCGCUCAGUUUGUUUGGGUAUAUUUCCCCAAAUUGAAGCAAAGAAGCACAUUUAUUGCAUGGGAGGCUCAAUUUGUAUGUAUUAGUUGAUGUUAAGAUCUAGAAAUACAGUUUUGAAAGAAGUUUCAAAGGAGUUUAUCUGUAGACACAAGAAACUGCAGAUGCUGGUUUACAAAAAAAAUUAUGAUGUUCUGGAAUAACACAGCGGGUCAGGCUGCAUCUCAGGAGAACUUGGAUAGGUGACAUUUCGGGUGGGACCUAUCUUCACACUGAUUUGGGGAAGAAACUUGAAAGAGAGGUGGGGGCAGGACAACGCUUGGCAAGGGAUAGGUCGAUACAGGUGAGGGAGGAGAGGUCAUUGGCAGAGAUUAAACGGUUUGGGUGGAAAGGGAUGAGUGAACCAAGGAGUCAAGGAGGGAGCAGUCUCUGUGGAAGGUGGAAAAGGAUUGGGAUGAGAAGAUGUGGCUGGUGGUGGGAUCAAGUGUGUAUGUUCUCCCUGUGACCCCGUGAGUUUUCUUUGGGUGCCCCUGUUUCCUCCCACGCUCCAAAGAAUUGGCUUCGGUAAAGUUGUAAAUUGUCCCAUAGUGUGUGGGAUAGUGCUAAUGUAUGGGUGAUCGCUGGUCGGCGCAAGCUCAGUGGGCCGAAGGACCUGUUUCUGCGUUGUGUCUCGAAACUAAAAUAAUCAAAUUGAAUUAAUAAAAAUCUUAAACCAAUUAGGUUGUGUAUGAAGUAAUUUAGAACUUUAUAACCCUUUCCAAAAUAAAUACAAAUUCUCAUGUAAUUCAAAAUGUUAAAAUGAAAUGCAAAUCUAGCAAUAUGUUAUGAAAAUAUUUGUUUGGGAAAACUCUGAAUUUAUAAUGAACAGAUUUACCACUACAUAACUUGCUAUUUGCUGUAAUUAACAUUUUCAUAAAACUUUCAACUUGAUUUCACUCCCUGCUGACGCAUAUCUGGAAAAAACUCCCAUACCCAAAACAUUUCACCUCCUCUGGGAGCAUCAGCUCUGUCGAGGCCAUAAAAAUCUACAAAUCCAAAUCCUACUUGCACUGAUUGCUAUUCCAUGCGUUUAAGAUACAAGGUUCAGCAAAUUAUUUUUGAGACAUCUCAGCUUUCUCUCAGUCUCCUUCAUCCCAAUAUCAAUGUGAGAGCAUUUAAAACCUGUUACACUUUGAACAUCACCACGAUUCCUUCCAUCAUUUCCAUGUAAAAUUUAGUGUUACACCAUCGGACAAAAAUCCUCGCCCCUUACCCCCACCCCUGCUUCCAUCAGACUCCAACGAAAAUUGAACAAUUUGGAAGUACAUGUUUAUACAUGAUGUUACUUUUAUUUAUCUUCUCACUCCUUAUACCAAAUUAAUAUUCUGAAACUGACCGGAACAAUUUACUAUUUAAUAAAUUAAUUGAUCAGCUCCUGGAUUAUCUGCAGAGCCUGGUAAAUACAUGAUUGCAAACAUGGCUAUUGUCAAGUACACUAUCCAGUAGGUAUAACUGGUUCAUUUUUAAAUACUUUACAUAGUUUCUACACAACGAGACAAAUUAUUUAAAUUACCAGCUUUUAGUGGGAAGAUGAAAAUUUAUUUCUCUGUUAAUUGCCCAAACCUGUUUCAAGAUGCAAUACAGCUUUCAAAGUAUUAACAUAGCACCUACUAUAGUUGAUGUAAAUAAAAUCUAGGUGUUCUAAAUCUUGAUCUAAAUCUAGUCCAAGAGGAAUUCACUGAUAGAACUUGGUAAUGGAACAUAGAACAGUACAACAGGAACAGGUCCUUUGGCCCACAAUGUCCAUCCGAAACAUAAUGCCAAUUUAGACUAAUCUCCUCCGAGUCAUGGUCCAUAUCCCUCGAUUUCCUGCAUAUCCAUAUGCCUAUCCGAAAGCUAUUAAAUGCCACUAUCGUAUCUGACUCCAUCACCAUCCCUGGCAGUGUGUUCCAGACACUCACCACUCUCUGUGUAAAAAACAUGCCCCACAGAUCUCCUUUAAACUUUGGCCCUCUCAUCUUAAACCCAUGCCCUCUGGUCUUUGACAUUUCCAUCCUGGGGGAAAAAAGUUCUUACGGACUACCCUUUCUAUGACUCUCAUAAUUUUAUAUAAUUUCUAUCAGGUCUCCCCGCAACCUUCCCGUGUUCUAGAGAAUAUCAAUUUAGUUUAGUUGAGUUUAGAAAUGCAGCGCGGAAACAGGCUCUUCGGCCCAUU
This is a long non-coding RNA of Leucoraja erinaceus (little skate), 6073 nucleotides long. RefSeq lists it as uncharacterized. The record is from RefSeq and is a predicted model, not a curated record. Lineage: Eukaryota; Metazoa; Chordata; Chondrichthyes; Rajiformes; Rajidae. The transcript has 3 exons.